UACGAAGGGGGCUAGCGUUGUUCGGAUUUACUGGGCGUAAAGCGCACGUAGGCGGAUCUUUAAGUCAGAGGUGAAAUCCCAAGGCUCAACCUUGGAACUGCCUUUGAUACUGGAGAUCUUGAGUCCGGGAGAGGUGAGUGGAACUGCGAGUGUAGAGGUGAAAAUUCGUAGAUAUUCGCAAGAACACCAGUGGCGAAGGCGGCUCACUGGCCCGGUACUGACGCUGAGGUGCGAAAGCGUGGGGAGCAAACAGG
This 254-nucleotide ribosomal RNA is filed under the name uncultured bacterium. RNAcentral's name for it is "partial 16S ribosomal RNA". It matches the Rfam family "Bacterial small subunit ribosomal RNA", at positions 524 to 776 of the family's 1533-position model. The record is from RNAcentral.